UGUCUGUGCUCUGGGCCAGCGCUGGCGGCAGCUUCCUGGGAUGGGGACAGGGAUUCAAGGAACAGGGCGGGGGCGGGAGAGGGGUGUCGGUGAGGGAGCCUGCCCUUGAGAACCCCCAGGCCAGCCUUGGUUCUAACUUAAAUGGUGGAGGCCAGGGUUCUGGGAGCCUCUUUCUGCAGGGAAGCUGGGCAGCCCAGGCUAACCCCUCCAGCGGCAACCAUGUCAUGUCCUGCCCCUUCCCCAGGCCUUGGCGUUCAAGGGCGCCCCAGGCAGGACCCAGAGGUCAAGCUUGCAUUUCCUUUCUCUCUCAUGGAAACGUGUGCUUGGCUUCAGCUCCGCAGCCCACGGACCUGGGGCCACUCUUGGUCCUGAAGCCAUGCCCAGGAGCCGGUGCCUCGUCCAGACCUGCCGGCCAGCUCUGCCAGCGGCUCCCUGGGCCGAUGCGCAUAACCACGCGGGAUCAGCUGGCCUCCCAGGAAGGCGGCGGCAGCUUGGGCCUCACCAGGGACACGGCUUCUCACGGUAGAAGAUUUGUAUCGCAUUUUUGAAAAUCCACGCAUACUUCAAGGAACCUCUGGAUUGCUUCCCCGGCCAGGCUCCCGUGAACAAUGCUCUUCUGAACAUGGGUGAGUAGGUACAUUUGUGCGUGCGCACGUGUAUGCAAUCGAGCGUGUGCCGUGCACCCUGCCGAGGGGACACCCAGGUUGGUGAAGGAAUUAACAACCUGCCUCUAGGAAUUCCUCAGAGCAAACCGACUCCUUGCAGCAGCCCCAUUUCCCAGGCUUUUAAAACUGUUAUCAAAUUCAUAGCGCAUUCACACACAAUGGGAAUCGUCUUUUUAAAUAGUGUUUGGAAUGUCUCACUGAGUUCAAAAUAGUGAGCCUAUUUUAUUCAUGAAAUGGGUUUGCAGUUCAACCCUUUUUAUUAGCUUCCUAUGGUUAAGCUGCCAGUCAGACGUCCUCAGAGCCCGGGCAGUGGCAUUGGCCGUGCCCCGUGUUUGCAGGGACAAUGUCCCUCUUCAAGGGUAGCCUGCUUCAGUGUCGGGAAGGUGUUCAAGCGGUCGGAAUACAAAUACAUUUGUACUUUGACCCUGAACACAAAAACGCACGUAUGUAACCGAAACGAGCGUUUUCUAAAGCUGCACUUGACCUCAUUCCGUGAGGGGCGCGCAUACUUUCCGGCCGGUGCCACUCGACGUGAGGUCUGCGGACUGCUUGUUGCGAGCAGCGAGACCAUCGCGUGCAGGAACUCAGAGUUGGGGUUUAGCGCACGAAAAGAUGCUUGACGUCGUCAGCGAUCAAGGAAAUGCGAACACUGACCACGGUGAGAUGUCACCUCGCACCCGCUGGGACGGCCACGUAAUGAGUGUUGGUGACGGUGUGAAGAAAUGGAACCCUCAGACACUGCCGUGAGAAUGUGGAACGGAGCGGCUGCUAGGAAAACAGCAUGCUGGUUCCUUGAAAAGAAAGGAAGGAAGGAAGAAAGGGCAGAAGGGCCUUUCAGGGGUGAUGAGAAUGUCCUAGAAUUGGCUGUGGUGAUGGUGUACAGCUCUGUGAAUACACCGAACACCAUGGAAUUGUUCGCUUGAAAUGGGUGAGUUGUGUGCUAUGUGAGUUAUACCUCAAUAAAGCUGCUAACUAGCAGAGUGCUUUUAGGGACUGUCAUAGCAACUGGACAUUGCUGGGCCGUCCAAGAGCCUGGUCCUCCUUCUAGUGAUUCAUUCCUACUUUUUGACUGAGUGUGAUGAAAGCAUCAGUUGUGGCAUUGGAAUUUUUAAAAAAUGAAGCAGAUUGUCCAUGACAGAUCACGUGAAAGACAAUGUUCUAGUCAAUGUCAUGAUUAAAAUAAAUUCUAGCCUUAAAACACGAAGCUGAUUUCAUUACCCACUAAUGAGCUGUGACCUGCAGUUUGAAAAGUGCGGACAAGUUCAGCCCGGAGCACAGUAGCACCAGAUGCUCUGGGCAGCAUCUCCCAGCACCGAGGGUUUCCAUGGUGACACGGUUUCCUGUUCAGGGUUCUUAGCAAACCAUCAGAGAUGAGUGGAUAAACUAGAAAUCAUAACCCGUGAUCUGACUUCUGCCCCCUCCCCAGCCCCAUCCAUCACCAUGUCCCACCUAGGCCUCUGCUCCCAUCGUACCCGACAGCGUGCCUUCCAGAACUGGCCGUGUGAGCUUAGCCUUUGCAGGUGAAGUUCCCUCUGCUGGAAUGAUGGCAGUUCAGUGCCACCCACCUGCAAACACCAUGUUAUUCUCCGAGGUGCAACCCAGAUAUCAUCUUCCCUGUGCCCGGACCUGCUUCCUCUUUGGUCCUCUUUCCCCAAGUCCCCAAAAGCAAUCAUCACAUGACACGGCCAUCACGCGCCUGCACUGUCUAUCUCAGGAGACAGGAAACA
Long non-coding RNA from Myotis lucifugus (little brown bat), 2392 nucleotides. RefSeq lists it as uncharacterized. NCBI's taxonomy places the organism in Eukaryota, Metazoa, Chordata, Mammalia, Chiroptera, Vespertilionidae. The record is from RefSeq and is a predicted model, not a curated record. The transcript is spliced from 3 exons.